This 505-nucleotide ribosomal RNA is filed under the name uncultured bacterium. RNAcentral's name for it is "partial 16S ribosomal RNA". It matches the Rfam family "Bacterial small subunit ribosomal RNA", at positions 28 to 507 of the family's 1533-position model. The record is from RNAcentral.
GACGAACGCUGGCGGCGUGCCUAAUACAUGCAAGUAGAACGCACAGUUUAUACCGUAGCUUGCUACACCAUAGACUGUGAGUUGCGAACGGGUGAGUAACGCGUAGGUAACCUGCCUGGUAGCGGGGGAUAACUAUUGGAAACGAUAGCUAAUACCGCAUAAUAUUAAUUAUUGCAUGAUAAUUAAUUGAAAGGUGCAAUUGCACCACUACCAGAUGGACCUGCGUUGUAUUAGCUAGUAGGUGAGGUAACGGCUCACCUAGGCGACGAUACAUAGCCGACCUGAGAGGGUGAUCGGCCACACUGGGACUGAGACACGGCCCAGACACCUACGGGAGGCAGCAGUAGGGAAUCUUCGGCAAUGGACGAAAGUCUGACCGAGCAACGCCGCGUGAGUGAAGAAGGUUUUCGGAUCGUAAAGCUCUGUUGUAAGAGAAGAACGGGUGUGAGAGUGGAAAGUUCACACUGUGACGGUAUCUUACCAGAAAGGGACGGCUAACUACGUG